GACCUCGGAUCAGGUAGGAAUACCCGCUGAACUUAAGCAUAUCAAUAAGCGGAGGAAAAGAAACCAACAGGGAUUGCCUCAGUAACGGCGAGUGAAGCGGCAAAAGCUCAAAUUUGAAAUCUGACUCUUCGGGUCCGAGUUGUAAUUUGCAGAGGAUGUUUCGGGUAAGAUUUAGGUCUAAGUUCCUUGGAACAGGACGUCAUAGAGGGUGAGAACCCCGUACGUGACCGUUGAUCGCACCCAUGUGAAACUCCUUCGACGAGUCGAGUUGUUUGGGAAUGCAGCUCAAAAUGGGUGGUAAAUUUCAUCUAAAGCUAAAUAUUGGCCAGAGACCGAUAGCGCACAAGUAGAGUGAUCGAAAGAGGAAAAGCACUUUGAAAAGAGAGUUAAACAGUAUGUGAAAUUGUUGAAAGGGAAGCGC
Molecule: ribosomal RNA, 421 nt
Filed under: uncultured fungus
Lineage: Eukaryota; Fungi
Description: eukaryotic LSU rRNA
Rfam family: Eukaryotic large subunit ribosomal RNA
Source: RNAcentral